Molecule: ribosomal RNA, 253 nt
Filed under: uncultured bacterium
Lineage: Bacteria
Description: partial 16S ribosomal RNA
Rfam family: Bacterial small subunit ribosomal RNA
Source: RNAcentral
UAAAGAGGGUGCAAGCGUUAAUCGGAAUUACUGGGCGUAAAGCGUGCGUAGGCGGUUUGUUAAGUCAGGCGUGAAAUCCUGGGGCUCAACCUCAGAAUUGCGCUUGAUACUGACAGACUCGAGUGUGGUAGAGGAUAGUGGAAUUCCCGGUGUAGCGGUGAAAAGCGUAGAUAUCGGGAGGAACAUCAGUGGCGAAGGAGGCUAUCUGGAACAACCUUGACAGUGAGGUACGAAAGCGUGGGUAGCAAACAGG